UACUUCACUAUUUUAUUUUUAAUAUAUUCUGAUAAAUAUACUUAUUUAACUUUCAGUGACACUAAGGACAGGUCUUAAUUACAAUGUCCGGUCAAGUUUCAGUUAACGCUAAUUAGCCAAUUAACAACUGAUAACCGAUUUUAUUACCGGACAUUGCUGGCAGUGAGAAAAGUUCCCAUAUUUCAAAAUGCUUCUGAUAUUGAAAUUGAAAAGCCUUUGAAAUCAUUUAUGGCACAAGCAUCUGCUAGAUUAAAA
Myzus persicae (green peach aphid) is the source of this 255-nucleotide long non-coding RNA. RefSeq lists it as uncharacterized. The transcript is spliced from 2 exons. NCBI's taxonomy places the organism in Eukaryota, Metazoa, Arthropoda, Insecta, Hemiptera, Aphididae. The record is from RefSeq and is a predicted model, not a curated record.